GCCUUCCCGGUGAGUCUGCGGGCUUAAACGGACGCGGUAAAGCGUGCUAAGGUAGCUAAAUUAUGGCCUAUUAAUUGUAGGUCCUGUGAAUGGUUUGACGAGUCUUCAACUGUCUCUAGUUUUUUUGGUGAACUUGAAUUGGAUGUGCAAAUGCUUCCAUGGGUAAGAAAGACGAGAAGACCCCGUGAAGUUAGAAAUUUUGGUUGUUGGUGAGCUUUGUUGGGUGUAGGUUAGGCCGCUUUAAGUGGUUUGAAAGAAAAGUGAACAGCGAUAGUUUUGGCUGGGGCAGCAAAGAAGCAAGGUUAGACUUCUUUAGUUUAAGGACAGGUGUGUGACGACCCACAAGUUUGUUGGUGUGAUUAGCAGAAGAAGUUACUCCGGGGAUAACA
This 389-nucleotide ribosomal RNA is filed under the name Nodipecten subnodosus. Its description in RNAcentral is "partial 16S ribosomal RNA". It matches the Rfam family "Bacterial large subunit ribosomal RNA", at positions 1857 to 2479 of the family's 2925-position model. Lineage: Eukaryota; Metazoa; Mollusca; Bivalvia; Pectinida; Pectinidae. The record is from RNAcentral.